CCUACGGGGGGCUGCAGUGAGGAAUAUUUGUCAAUGGACGCAAGUCUGAACCAGCCAUGCCGCGUGCAGGAAGACGGCUCUAUGAGUUGUAAACUGCUUUUGUACGAGGGUAAACGCAGAUACGCGUAUCUGUCUGAAAGUAUCGUACGAAUAAUGAUCGGCUAACUCCGUGCCAGCAGCCGCGGUAAGACGGAGGAUUCAAGCGUUAUCCGGAUUCAUUGGGUUUAAAGGGUGCGUUGGCGGUCGUAUAAGUUAGGGGUGAAAUCCCGAGGCUCAACUUCGGAAUUGCCUAUGAUACUGUGCGGCUAGAGAGUAGUUGCGGUAGGCGGAAUGUAUGGUGUAGCGGUGAAAUGCUUAGAGAUCAGACAGAACACCGAUGGCGAAGGCAGCUUACCAAGCUACUUCUGACGUUGAGGCACGAAAGCGUGGGGAGCAAACAGGAUUAGAUACCCGAGUAGUC
This 460-nucleotide ribosomal RNA is filed under the name uncultured bacterium. RNAcentral describes it as "partial 16S ribosomal RNA". It matches the Rfam family "Bacterial small subunit ribosomal RNA", at positions 338 to 795 of the family's 1533-position model. The record is from RNAcentral.